UGGGGAAUAUUGGACAAUGGGCGCAAGCCUGAUCCAGCCAUGCCGCGUGGGUGAAGAAGGCCUUCGGGUUGUAAAGCCCUUUUGUUGGGAAAGAAAAGCAGUCGGUUAAUACCCGAUUGUUCUGACGGUACCCAAAGAAUAAGCACCGGCUAACUUCGUG
This 160-nucleotide ribosomal RNA is filed under the name uncultured bacterium. Its description in RNAcentral is "partial 16S ribosomal RNA". It matches the Rfam family "Bacterial small subunit ribosomal RNA", at positions 355 to 507 of the family's 1533-position model. The record is from RNAcentral.